GACGAACCGAGCGAACGUUGUUCGGAAUCACUGGGCUUAAAGGGCGCGUAGGCGGGGGCUCAAGUCCGUGGUGAAAUCCUCCGGCUCAACCGGAGAACUGCCUCGGAUACUGGGUGCCUCGAGGGUGGUAGGGGUAUGCGGAACUAUCGGUGGAGCGGUGAAAUGCGUUGAUAUCGAUAGGAACUCCGGUGGCGAAGGCGGCAUACUGGACCACCUCUGACGCUGAGGCGCGAAAGCCAGGGGAGCAAACGGG
Molecule: ribosomal RNA, 253 nt
Filed under: uncultured bacterium
Lineage: Bacteria
Description: partial 16S ribosomal RNA
Rfam family: Bacterial small subunit ribosomal RNA
Source: RNAcentral